This 456-nucleotide ribosomal RNA is filed under the name Coniochaeta tetraspora. Its description in RNAcentral is "eukaryotic LSU rRNA". It matches the Rfam family "Eukaryotic large subunit ribosomal RNA", at positions 107 to 575 of the family's 3401-position model. Lineage: Eukaryota; Fungi; Ascomycota; Sordariomycetes; Coniochaetales; Coniochaetaceae. The record is from RNAcentral.
GCUCAAAUUUGAAAUCUGGCUUCGGCCCGAGUUGUAAUUUGUAGAGGAUGCUUUUGGUGAGGUGCCUUCUGAGUUCCCUGGAACGGGACGCCAGAGAGGGUGAGAGCCCCGUAUAGUUGGACACCGAGCCUCUGUAAAGCUCCUUCGACGAGUCGAGUAGUUUGGGAAUGCUGCUCAAAAUGGGAGGUAUAUCUCUUCUAAAGCUAAAUACUGGCCAGAGACCGAUAGCGCACAAGUAGAGUGAUCGAAAGAUGAAAAGCACUUUGAAAAGAGGGUUAAAUAGUACGUGAAAUUGUUGAAAGGGAAGCGCUUGUGACCAGACUUGUGCCCGGCUGAUCAUCCAGUGUUCUCACUGGUGCACUCUGCCGGGCUCAGGCCAGCGUCGGUUCUCGCAGGGGGACAAAAGCUUCGGGAACGUAGCUCCUCCGGGAGUGUUAUAGCCCGUCGCUCAAUACC